GCGACCCCACGUCAGGCGGGACUACCCGCUGAGUUUAA
This 38-nucleotide ribosomal RNA is filed under the name Callitriche heterophylla var. bolanderi. Its description in RNAcentral is "partial 26S ribosomal RNA". The record is from RNAcentral. Lineage: Eukaryota; Viridiplantae; Streptophyta; Magnoliopsida; Lamiales; Plantaginaceae.